RNAcentral lists this ribosomal RNA (573 nucleotides) under fungal endophyte. Its description in RNAcentral is "eukaryotic LSU rRNA". The stretch from base 218 to 371 matches the Rfam family "5.8S ribosomal RNA". The record is from RNAcentral. Lineage: Eukaryota; Fungi.
UUAACCUUUCAAAUCAGGGUGCGGCGCGGCCCCCGAGGAGCGGAAACAAUCCUUGGGAGGUAUGCGGGGGCUUCGAGCCCCCCAUUUACGCACGCACGACUGCCAUCCUUACUUUACGAGCACCUUCUGUUCUCCCUCGGCGGGGCAACCUGCCGUUGGAACCGAAUAAACUCUUUUUGCAUCUAGCAUUACCUGUUCCGAAACAAACAAUCGUUACAACUUUCAACAAUGGAUCUCUUGGCUCUGGCAUCGAUGAAGAACGCAGCGAAAUGCGAUAAGUAGUGUGAAUUGCAGAAUUCAGUGAAUCAUCGAAUCUUUGAACGCACAUUGCGCCCCUCGGUAUUCCGUGGGGCAUGCCUGUUCGAGCGUCAUCUACACCCUCAAGCUCUGCUUGGUGUUGGGCGUCUGUCCCGCCUCCGCGCGUGGACUCGCCCCAAAUUCAUUGGCAGCGGUCCUUGCCUCCUCUCGCGCAGCACAUUGCGCUUCUCGAGGGGCUACGGCUCGCGUCCAACAAGCACAUUUACCGUCUUUGACCUCGGAUCAGGUAGGGAUACCCGCUGAACUUAAGCAUAU